Molecule: unclassified non-coding RNA, 354 nt
Filed under: uncultured fungus
Lineage: Eukaryota; Fungi
Description: sequence contains ITS1
Rfam family: 5.8S ribosomal RNA (bases 1-107)
Source: RNAcentral
AAAAUGCGAUACUUGGUGUGAAUUGCAGAAUCCCGUGAACCAUCGAGUUUUUGAACGCAAGUUGCGCCCGAAGCCAUUCGGCUGAGGGCACGUCUGCCUGGGCGUCACGCAUCGCGUCGCUCCCCCAACAUUUCCUUUGAGAUGCUUUGGACGGGAGCGGAUAUUGGCCUCCCGUUUUUACCGAGCGGUUGGCCAAAAUAAAGGCACCUAUUGACGGGCGCAAGACUAUUGGUGACAAAACCAUGAAAUCUGUUGCGUGUCUCAUCAAAAGGUUGCUUAUUGACCCAACGCGUUGUCUUCUGAUGACGCUUCGACCGCGACCCCAGGUCAGGCGGGACUACCCGCUGAGUUUAA